RNAcentral lists this ribosomal RNA (199 nucleotides) under uncultured bacterium. Its description in RNAcentral is "partial 16S ribosomal RNA". It matches the Rfam family "Bacterial small subunit ribosomal RNA", at positions 1294 to 1500 of the family's 1533-position model. The record is from RNAcentral.
CGGAUCGGAGUCUGNAACCCGACUCCGUGAAGCUGGAUUCGCUAGUAAUCGCGCAUCAGCCAUGGCGCGGUGAAUACGUUCCCGGGCCUUGUACACACCGCCCGUCAAGCCAUGGGAGCCGGGGGCACUUGAAGUACGCCGCCGCGAGGAGCGUCCUAGAGUGAAACUGGUGACUGGGGCUAAGUCGUAACAAGGUACC